GAAGCGCGAGAUUCGAACAUACAAAUUGUUGUUGGAAUGCGUACAUUUUAAUUUGAGAAAUUACAUUAAUCAGAGAAAAGAUUGGAAAGAUAUCGACUGUGCUCAUAAUUGAUGUCGAUAGUACUUGACAAAAUGACAGAGUUAACUUACUUUAUUACUUUUAAUUAUCCUCCUCAUUUUAGUGUUUUAUUAGAAGCUAGGACCAAAU
RNAcentral lists this long non-coding RNA (208 nucleotides) under Nicotiana benthamiana. RNAcentral's name for it is "long non-coding RNA (NBEN_LNC020263)". Lineage: Eukaryota; Viridiplantae; Streptophyta; Magnoliopsida; Solanales; Solanaceae. The record is from RNAcentral.